RNAcentral lists this transfer RNA (72 nucleotides) under Albula goreensis. It matches the Rfam family "tRNA". From Rfam's summary of the family: Transfer RNA (tRNA) molecules are approximately 80 nucleotides in length. Their secondary structure includes four short double-helical elements and three loops (D, anti-codon, and T loops). The record is from Rfam by way of RNAcentral. Lineage: Eukaryota; Metazoa; Chordata; Actinopteri; Albuliformes; Albulidae.
GGGGAUGUAGCUCAGUGGAAGAGUGCAUGCUUUGCAUGCAUGAUGUCCUGGGUUCAAUCCCCAGCAUCUCCA